RNAcentral lists this ribosomal RNA (469 nucleotides) under uncultured bacterium. RNAcentral describes it as "partial 16S ribosomal RNA". It matches the Rfam family "Bacterial small subunit ribosomal RNA", at positions 28 to 507 of the family's 1533-position model. The record is from RNAcentral.
GACGAACGCUGGCGGCGUGCUUAACACAUGCAAGUCGAACGAUGAAGCCUUAGCUUGCUUUGGUGGAUUAGUGGCGAACGGGUGAGUAACACGUGAGCAACGUGCCCAGGACUCUGGAAUAACCGCGGGAAACCGUGGCUAAUACCGGAUAGGUGCCGAGGCCGCAUGGUCUUCGGUUGGAAAGUUUUUGCGGUUCUGGAUCGGCUCACGGCCUAUCAGCUUGUUGGUGGGGUAAUGGCCUACCAAGGCGACGACGGGUAGCCGGCCUGAGAGGGUGACCGGCCACACUGGGACUGAGACACGGCCCAGACUCCUACGGGAGGCAGCAGUGGGGAAUAUUGCACGAUGGGCGCAAGCCUGAUGCAGCAACGCCGCGUGGGGGAUGACGGCCUUCGGGUUGUAAACCUCUUUUAGUAGGGAAGAAGCGAAAGUGACGGUACCUGCAGAAAAAGCACCGGCUAACUACGUG